AAAAACGCCAUUUUCUUUCUUACAUAGAAUGUAAUAUAUUUCCCAUUACCUCCAUAUGAUUCGCUGCACCUGUCAAAAGACAAAUUUAGCACCGCCACAAGCCUUAGAAGACCAGUUGUGAGUAUCGAAACCCUUCGAAGACCUAAACCCUCAGAUCGUAAAAAACCCUAAACCUUCACUCUCGUUGAAAACCCUAGGCCUUCACUCUCGUUGAAAACCCUAAGCUUUCUCUCUCUCUAUUGAAAAACCUUAACCUUUGGAAGAGUACUAUAUUCAGACUCUAAUCUACAACUAUUCUUAACCUGUCGGUAAUGGAAUCUCAUAGAUUUGAGUGGCAACGAAAUCAAAAGUGAGGUGGGAGACAAUAUUGGGGUGAUAUAUCACAUCGUGAAACAACGACGUGUAGUUGGUGAGUAGCCGAGCUGUUUGGGGGUUUUCAUUUUCAAGAUCCUGCUCCGAUCUCCUCUGUUAAGCAGCCAGAAAAUGUGAAGGUUUCUGUUCUUAGACCAACUCGAAUCUGAUCUACAUCUGGUUAGGAAGAUUUAUUUUGGGGGUCAAUGUACAUAGUUCGAAUCAAAGGACCAUCCAGAUAGAGGAGUCCAUGGGUUGGAAGAAAAUGAAGCUUUAUGGAGAUGAUGGUCACUGGAGGUAGCAUAGGCAUGGAAAUUAGAAAUCUUAUUGUGGAAGGUAAAAAGUUUUAGCAAAAGUGAAAAUUUUUAAUUGAAAAGAUUUCAGAAAUUGGGACUCCGUGGAUUGUGAAUUUGUGACUUGAAGGGUUGGUUGUUUGGAAUGAGUUUUUGCAUUUUUGUGGACAAAGCUGCAAAUUUUCAUAUUUUUAUGGAUGAAUAAUCCUCUGCAUGUAUAAGAUCCUUGUAGGAUUUGAAAAUGUAUCAAAUUUCUGUCAUCACUAUAGUGGCAAUUCCUACUUGUAUCAUGAUUCUUGACUUGAAUACCCAAGUUUCCAACUUAGUUGGGGGUGUGGCAGUUCUGUUGCUGGUUUAUCUUCUAUGUCAUUAAGUAAAAGGGAUGUUUGGUAAGUCUUGUAUGGUAUACGAUGGAGCCUUUUUUAUUGGUAAAUUCACAUGUUGUUUUUCCCAUUGAACUGUUGUUUUUCUUUCUCUAUUUUUUUAAAGCUAAUUUUGGUUGCAAUUUUGUGUAUAGUAUCUGGAACAGAGCCUCCUUAAGAGUUAUUCAUCUAGUUGAAGGCUUCCCUUUGUGGUAUUGCUACUUUAUGCUUGCUAGAAAUAUUUAAUCAUCAAUUAACUAUCUUGUGUUUAUAUCAAAAUAUGAUGGCCAGUUUGCUAUGAGGGAUUUUAUUUGCAUUACUAGUUGAUAAUCACACUUUGGAAGGUGAAAAGACCUUCAUUUAAUAGAGGUUCGUAUUUUUGAUCGGAUACCGAAUUGUGUUUACCACUUUGUCAGGCUAUGCACUUCAAUUUGGCAUUGGGUUAUCAUUUCUAAUUCAAAUUCCAUUCCGAUUGUUACCCUUUCCGAAUAAUGCACAGCAAUGACACACAGCGUUUGGAAAUUUCAAAAUCUUGUGUACAGGAUGCCAUGAAUUUAAACAAUGUACUAAUAUCUAUUAUGUAUUACCUAUCUUUCCACCCUUGGAUUCAUGUUGUGGUUGUUCAAAAAUACCCCAUUAUGAUUCAUUUCAUACUGUGCAACAUGAAAGGAGAAUGAAACUUGAAGCUUCUGCCAAGGCAGGACAUGGAUCCUUUCUACUCUUGAUAGCCAGUUAUAAUAUUUGAAUCCAUAUUCUGUUAUUUAUAGUCAUUGGCAUUGGUGUUUAGUCCCUUGACUUCUAUAUCAGUCCAUGGUGACAUGAUGAAGAAGGAAAUGGAGGCAAGUGCUCUGCUGGGGUCCAUGGCUUUGCAGUGAAGCUUAAUGUGGUCUCAAGGUGUAUUAGGUUUUCUACUCCUUCAGUGGAGCUUAUGAAGUUCUAAGACUGCUGCAGAAGGCUUCAUCUCGAAUUCAGGUGAUGCACUCCCACUUCUCCAAUGUUAAUGAAGAUUAUAUCUGAAGUAUAAUAUAUAUCACUCUUCUCUUCCUAGCUUGGAAGAGAGAGAAAGAAAGAAAUAGUGAAAGAUAGAAAGGGAUAGAGUGUUCUACUCCACCAUCUAAGUAUGUGAUGAAAAGUUACAAAGGAAACUUGUUUGCUAAAAGAAGAGAAACCAUUGUGUUAAAGAAGGCGAAGUCAAAAACCAUGGAGGUUGAACUAUGCUUUUAAAGAUUAUGGUUUAUUUUUGUAGUCUUGAUACCAAUGCUUGUUCUUAUAUUAGAAUUAGAAAUUCUUAUUGAAAUAUUUUGGUAUAAUUAAUAAGUUUAUGUGUAAUUAAUAUAUAUAGGUGGUUACAUUAACUGUUUAAACUAGGUUCAUGUAUAUCAAU
Molecule: long non-coding RNA, 2390 nt
Organism: Vitis riparia (riverbank grape)
Lineage: Eukaryota; Viridiplantae; Streptophyta; Magnoliopsida; Vitales; Vitaceae
Exons: 4
Source: RefSeq, a predicted model, not a curated record